CCUAGCGGCAGACGGGUGCGUAACAUGCGGGAAUCUGCCUUGUGGUUCAGGACAACAUUGGGAAACCGAUGCUAAUACUGGAUAAGUCCUAACGGAGAAAGUUUUAAUGCCAAAAGAUGAGCCCGCAUUUGAUUAGCUAGUUGGUAAGGUAACGGCUUACCAUGGCGACAAUCAAUAGCUGAUUUGAGAGGAUGAUCAGCCACACUGGGACUGAGAUACGGCCCAGACUCC
RNAcentral lists this ribosomal RNA (231 nucleotides) under uncultured bacterium. RNAcentral describes it as "partial 16S ribosomal RNA". It matches the Rfam family "Bacterial small subunit ribosomal RNA", at positions 91 to 339 of the family's 1533-position model. The record is from RNAcentral.